GAGCAAAUAAACACACCACCCUGCACUGCCUCCCCUGGAACCUUGCCCCAACUCCCAGCAGACAUGAGGACCACAGUGGCACACAACCCUUCAGUGACACCAACACCCUGCCUGGACUUACUCAGUCCAUGUUCCAUCAGUCCCUGUGCAACAAAAGGAAUGAACCACAGAUGGGUUCUGUAACUCAGAGCAAGAACUGGGCAAGAAAGAGGGAAUUCUGUGGAUACUCAGACACCCAAAGCCUGUCUGAAGCAUGAUGCCCAGCCCGGCAAAGCACCACUGCAGGGAAGUUUUAAUCAGGCUUCCUGUUGUAAAAGCUCAGCAGACAGUGACGCGAGACACUGCCUCCCAACUUCGGUUCACCUUUGUCGUUCCACCAGGGACACCGUGUCAAGAUUGUUCAGCUUUUUUGAUGAGUGCUGCAUGUCGGCGAGGGAUGCUUGGCCAGGCACCUGGGGCUCGCCUGCCACGGAGCCGCACCAGCACCAAACCAGCCUGCACAUAGAUCACAAGGCUUUAACUCUCCAAUUAUAAUCUUAUUAAACAACCAUCACUCGA
Molecule: long non-coding RNA, 558 nt
Organism: Passer domesticus (house sparrow)
Lineage: Eukaryota; Metazoa; Chordata; Aves; Passeriformes; Passeridae
Exons: 4
Source: RefSeq, a predicted model, not a curated record